UGAACGAUAGCCUACAGAAGACAGUCGAGGUGGUGAAAGCCAUGAAAUUUACCUCGACCGCCAUUAUUUAACAUUUAAUAACUCUGAAUCGAACAGUCCAAGAUCAUCUAUGAACUUAACACCUUUACGAAAAUAACUACUUUAAACAACACGAGAAACUUUAAUUGCAUCUAUUUGUACUUCGACCUCUGUCCGAGCAACCCGGCGACCUGUCUUCGCCCAUAUAGAUACGACGCUUGAACCCGCAUUGGUCAGGCAAAGUGUCCGGUCUUCAGCUGUCCUCCUGAUGCUCCUUGACAAAAUAAAUUGGCCGUCAGAGGACAGCAAUAGCGAAGAUGACGAUUUCGACAUUGAAACCAUUUGUCGUAUUACUGGUUUCCUGCGGACAUUCAUUGAAACAGCAUCUUCCGAUUCACUCAUACAAAUCCUGAAGUUUUGGGUGGGGUGGGAAACCAUCACCACUGAACUUAAUGUUGAGCUAUCAGAAGGACGAUUUAUAACAUCCGCUACCUGUUUCGAGACACUACGCACAAUACACACACUACACUGACUUUCAAACUGCACUUGCUGCUGCUAUUAGCAGCACUUGUACAGGAUUCCGACUUCUCUAAUACUUAAAAAAAAAACAAUUCAAUAUGUAAAAUAUAUUAAUAACAACAAUGACAACAGUGUGUUUUCAUGAAUUUACAAUAUGUUAUUUGUUUAUAAAUGAAAUGUAAUA
Molecule: long non-coding RNA, 721 nt
Organism: Alosa alosa (allis shad)
Lineage: Eukaryota; Metazoa; Chordata; Actinopteri; Clupeiformes; Clupeidae
Exons: 4
Source: RefSeq, a predicted model, not a curated record